AGAGUUGAUCCUGGCUCAGGAUGAACGCUAGCUACAGGCUUAACACAUGCAAGUCGAGGGGCAGCAUUGGAGUAGCAAUACUUCAGAUGGCGACCGGCGCACGGGUGAGUAACACGUAUCCAACCUGCCGCUUACUCGGGGAUAGCCUUUCGAAAGAAAGAUUAAUACCCGAUGGUAUAAAGAGUUCGCAUGUUCUCUUUAUUAAAGAAUUUCGGUAAGCGAUGGGGAUGCGUUCCAUUAGAUAGUUGGCGGGGUAACGGCCCACCAAGUCUACGAUGGAUAGGGGUUCUGAGAGGAAGGUCCCCCACAUUGGAACUGAGACACGGUCCAAACUCCUACGGGAGGCAGCAGUGAGGAAUAUUGGUCAAUGGACGAGAGUCUGAACCAGCCAAAGUAGCGUGAAGGAUGACUGCCCUAUGGGUUGUAAACUUCUUUUAUAAGGGAAUAAAGUGAGGGACGUGUCCCUUUUUGUAUGUACCUUAUGAAUAAGGAUCGGCUAACUCCGUGCCAGCCGCCGC
Molecule: ribosomal RNA, 518 nt
Filed under: uncultured bacterium
Lineage: Bacteria
Description: bacterial SSU rRNA
Rfam family: Bacterial small subunit ribosomal RNA
Source: RNAcentral